GUUUGUGUGCGAGCAGCGCCGCCUGCCGGCCGGAGGAGGAACCGCAGCCCGGCGGCGGCAGCAGCAUCAGUGUGCCGCAGAGCUCUCUCUCUCUGCUCGGCGCAGAUCUCAACAUCACACCGCUGCGUUUACCACCGACCGCGGAGGACCGCGAGGACCAAACCAAAUGUUUAGGGUGGUUCACUGUGUGAUCCGUGGUCAAAGGUCGGGUUAAAGCUGAACAUGAAGAACCUGAAACCUGGAGACAAAGCUGCAAAAACUUUCAGAUUUCAUUCAGCCCUUCUACAGCUCCUCGAUGUGCCCAGCAGAAAUUCUUCUCAAGAAGAAGUUGACUGGUCUGCGCAGAGCUCUGACAUCACCCCCAACCAACAGCUCAUACUGAUAGCCAGACCGGAUCCCCUGAAGCCCUGCAGCAGGUUCAGCAUCUGGUGGAAAGACUGAAUCCGAGUGGAGGCUGUUAGAGCAGCAACAUUCAUGAAAACACCAACAACAAAACAACAGAACAAGCUUGCUUCAUUGAAAUCAUAAAAUAAUAACUUCAUUUUCAUGAGAGACAAAGAAUGAUAUUCUGU
Sander lucioperca (pikeperch) is the source of this 572-nucleotide long non-coding RNA. RefSeq lists it as uncharacterized. NCBI's taxonomy places the organism in Eukaryota, Metazoa, Chordata, Actinopteri, Perciformes, Percidae. The transcript is spliced from 3 exons. The record is from RefSeq and is a predicted model, not a curated record.